CCUACGGGAGGCAGCAGUGGGGAAUCUUAGACAAUGGGCGCAAGCCUGAUCUAGCCAUGCCGCGUGUGUGAAGAAGGUCUUCGGAUUGUAAAGCACUUUAAGUUGGGAGGAAGGGUUGUAGAUUAAUACUCUGCAAUUUUGACGUUACCGACAGAAUAAGCACCGGCCAACUACGUG
This 177-nucleotide ribosomal RNA is filed under the name uncultured bacterium. RNAcentral's name for it is "partial 16S ribosomal RNA". It matches the Rfam family "Bacterial small subunit ribosomal RNA", at positions 338 to 507 of the family's 1533-position model. The record is from RNAcentral.